GUAAGGUUCUGUGAGGUUAAUAGUUGUUUCAGGGUAAGGUUCUGUGAGGUUAAUAGUUGUUUCAGGGUAAGGUUCUGUGAGGUUAAUAGUUGUUUCAGGGUAAGGUUCUGUGAGGUUAAUAGUUGUUUCAGGGUAAGGUUCUGUGAGGUUAAUAGUUGUUUCAGGGUAAGGUUCUGUGAGGUUAAUAGUUGUUUCAGGGUAAGGUUCUGUGAGGUUAAUAGUUGUUUCAGGGUAAGGUUCUGUGAGGUUAAUAGUUGUUUCAGGGUAAGGUUCUGUGAGGUUAAUAGUUGUUUCAGGGUAAGGUUCUGUGAGGUUAAUAGUUGUUUCAGGGUAAGGUUCUGUAAGGUUAAUAGUUGUUUCAGGGUAAGGUUCUGUGAGGUUAAUAGUUGUUUCAGGGUAAGGUUCUGUGAGGUUAAUAGUUGUUUCAGGGUAAGGUUCUGUCAGGUUAAUAGUUGUUUCAGGGUAAGGUUCUGUGAGGUUAAUAGUUGUUUCAGGGUAAGGUAAGGUUCUGUCAGGUUAAUAGUUGUUUCAGGGUAAGGUUCUGUGAGGUUCUGUCUGGUUAAUAGUUGUUUCAGGGUAAGGUUCUGUCAGGUUAAUAGUUGUUUCAGGGUAAGGUUCUGUCAGGUUAAUAGUUGUUUCAGGGUAAGGUUCUGUGAGGUUAAUAGUUGUUUCAGGGUAAGGUUCUGUCAGGUUAAUAGUUGUUUCAGGGUAAGGUUCUGUCAGGUUAAUAGUUGUUUCAGGGUAAGGUUCUGUAAGGUUAAUAGUUGUUUCAGGGUAAGGUUCUGUCAGGUUAAUAGUUGUUUCAGGGUAAGGUUCUGUCAGGUUAAUAGUUGUUUCAGGGUUAGGUUCUGUCAGGUUAAUAGUUGUUUCAGGGUAAGGUUCUGUCAGGUUAAUAGUUGUUUCAGGGUAAGGUAAGGUUCUGUAAGGUUCUGCAAGGUUAAUAGGCGAGUGUCAUGAUACUGUUUUGCUUUAGUUUUGCCUUUUUAUUAUUUUAUUUACAUUUUGUCUGAAUUUACUUAAAAUCCUGAACUAGGAUAAAAAAAUCUGGGUUUGUGUUUUAGAGGUGGUUGGAACUCUGAUCUUGUCCAUCGGUUGUUUUUGAAUGUAAUUUUUGUAAUACAAAAAGUGACUGUUGUAAAAAUGUUGUACAGGAUUGGAUACUGUAUAUAAUUCUAAUAAAAUCAAAUGUUUUCUUUAAACGGA
Oncorhynchus keta (chum salmon) is the source of this 1203-nucleotide long non-coding RNA. RefSeq lists it as uncharacterized. The record is from RefSeq and is a predicted model, not a curated record. The transcript has 6 exons. Lineage: Eukaryota; Metazoa; Chordata; Actinopteri; Salmoniformes; Salmonidae.